AUCUAGCUGAAGAGUCCCAAAUAGGACGAAACGUGCAUCCUGGAU
This 45-nucleotide non-coding RNA is filed under the name Schistosoma curassoni. The record is from RNAcentral. Lineage: Eukaryota; Metazoa; Platyhelminthes; Trematoda; Strigeidida; Schistosomatidae.